UACGUAGGGUGCAAGCGUUUGUCCGGAAUUAUUGGGCGUAAAGAGCUCGUAGGCGGUUUGUUGCGUCGGCUGUGAAAUCCCGAGGCUCAACCUCGGGUCUGCAGUCGAUACGAGCAAACUAGAGUGUUGCAGGGGGAGACUGGAAUUCCUGGUGUAGCGGUGAAAUGCGCAGAUAUCAGGAGGAACACCGGUGGCGAAGGCGGGGUCUCUGGGGCAACAACUGACGCUGGAGGAGCG
RNAcentral lists this ribosomal RNA (237 nucleotides) under uncultured bacterium. Its description in RNAcentral is "partial 16S ribosomal RNA". It matches the Rfam family "Bacterial small subunit ribosomal RNA", at positions 524 to 755 of the family's 1533-position model. The record is from RNAcentral.